This 27-nucleotide non-coding RNA is filed under the name Bombyx mori (domestic silkworm). Lineage: Eukaryota; Metazoa; Arthropoda; Insecta; Lepidoptera; Bombycidae. The record is from RNAcentral.
UUGAAAUGUGGUUGCCUUUACAAUGGC